UCAGAAGCAGUGGGCCACAUAUGAAUACGAAAAGGUUCACGACAUAGCUCGUAGCUCCUUUCAUUGUUUCUCUGGCUGCUGAUUCUGGGGUUUUAGUAUUUCAUAAUUACUCAAUGGAGAAAUUGAGGAAAGUGGUGAAUGAAAUUGCUUACACAACGCCACUAUCUCAAAACCUCUCUAAACUGUCGCCUCUUCAAUGCUCUCUCAUCCCUCUCCUCUUUCUCAGUUCCUCUUUCUACACCCUCGCUCUCUCCCUCCGCCACUUCCUCUACCGCCACCGCCUUUUUCGCCAACACCGGUUGCCAGUGCCAGUUAUCAGCGUCGGAAAUAUGACGUGGGGAGGCAAUGGGAAGACGCCCAUGGUUGAAUUCAUGGCCCUCUGGUUGGCCAAUUCUGGAAUUUCACCUCUGAUUCUUUCUAGGGGUUAUGCUGGUGGGGAUGAAGCUAAAAUGCUCCAAAGGCGGCUUCUUGGAAGAUCUGCUAAGAUUGGUGUGGGUGCAAACAGGGCAGCAACUGCUGCUCAUUUUUUUGAAAGAUAUGGUUACAUGGAUCCUGGCCCUGCUACAUGCUUGGAGAGGCUUUGUUUUGACCAAACAAUGGGAAGUCAUCUUGAUGCAGACAAAAUUGGUGCGGUGAUUCUAGAUGAUGGAAUGCAGCAUCGGAGCUUGUGGCGUGAUCUGGAGAUUGUUAUGGUAAAUGGACUGAUGCCAUGGGGAAACUAUCAUUUACUCCCACUUGGACCUUUGAGGGAACCUUUGACUGCACUCAGGCGAGCAGAUGUUGCCAUAGUCCAUCAUGCAGACUUGGUACUAGAACAAAGUCUCAAAGAUGUUGAACUAAAGAUGCAAGAAAUCAAAGAAUCUCUCCCUAUUUUCUUCACUAGAAUGGCUCCCUCACACUUAUUAGAAAUGGGAAACAUCGACUCCAAAAUGCCUUUGAGAUCUGUAUGCGACAAGGUUGUGUUAUGUGUUUCUGCAAUUGGUUUUGCAAAUGCCUUUGUGCAGGCAAUUGGGAGGAUAGGAGCCUUUUAUGUGGAUCGACUAGACUUCAGUGACCACCAUUUAUUUCAAGCCAAGGAUGUUGAGAUGAUUAGAAUGAGACUUGGAAAACUACAGGACAAAUUUGGUUUGAAGCCUGUUGUUGUUGUCACUGAAAAGGUUCAAACAAAGGUAUGAUCCUAAGGAUUACUGGUCCAAGGCAAGACUACUUAUUCAGCAUGAUAUAGGAACACAGAGGCAUUACAAAAAUGGCCAGUUUCUCACAUUCUCUCGAGGGUUGUCAUACUUCAGCAGAAGCUUCAUGCCCAAUGCCUUAAUGGAGCUCAACAAAAAUGGGAAAAACCAGCACUCAGAUGAGAGUUCAACAAUGAACGUUUUCAACAGGAAACAAAACAUAAUAGAAUAUCCGAUAAAUUUACCUGUUCGCAGAACUUGAUAGAGAGAUCUAGAUCAGCCACACGAAGCAUCAUCUGGCAAAGUGGUUCAGGAGUUGAGGCCAUUCUGGAUGAGCUCCCAACUGUAGCCUUCAGAAUCCUCCACAAAAGCAUAGAUGGUGGUGCCCCCUUCUGCAGCAGGCCGGCUCACGUGUGGCUACUCCACCAUAGGCUCGAACAACCUCAGUCAGUUUAUAAACCUGAAAGAUCAAGCGCUGAUCAGAGUCAAAACAUGAUCAAGGUCACACCUACAUGGAAAGCCAUCGACACCCACAUCGAACAACCAGAGCUCAAAAGUUAAAACUUGUCGUGAUAAGGAAAUCAUCAAUGUUGACAUAUUAAUAGAAGAACACAAAAAUAAAGCAAAUUACAUGUAAAGGUAUAUGAGAUUAAAGUGGUUCAACUAA
Vitis vinifera (wine grape) is the source of this 1839-nucleotide RNA transcript. It is a transcript of the gene named probable tetraacyldisaccharide 4'-kinase, mitochondrial, with no coding region annotated. The record is from RefSeq and is a predicted model, not a curated record. Lineage: Eukaryota; Viridiplantae; Streptophyta; Magnoliopsida; Vitales; Vitaceae. The transcript has 9 exons.